Molecule: transfer RNA, 85 nt
Filed under: Felis catus (domestic cat)
Lineage: Eukaryota; Metazoa; Chordata; Mammalia; Carnivora; Felidae
Rfam family: tRNA
About the family: Transfer RNA (tRNA) molecules are approximately 80 nucleotides in length.
Source: Rfam by way of RNAcentral
GCCUGGGUGGCUCAGUCGGUUGGGCAUCCGACUUUGGCUCAGGUCAUGAUCUCACAGUUCGUGGGUUCAAGCCCCACAUCGGGCU